UAGAAAGCUUCUGGGUUCAGAUAUAGACAGUUUAAUAGGCAAAGCAGAAGCUGCACAUGCAAGCAAAGUAAAACAAAG
Molecule: non-coding RNA, 78 nt
Organism: Sturnus vulgaris (Common starling)
Lineage: Eukaryota; Metazoa; Chordata; Aves; Passeriformes; Sturnidae
Source: RefSeq, a predicted model, not a curated record